AGCAACGUUACAAAUCGUAAGGCGAGUUAUAUGUUUUUUGAAACUCACCAUAUGAUUUGUAACUGUGCU
This 69-nucleotide microRNA precursor is filed under the name Aedes aegypti (yellow fever mosquito). RNAcentral describes it as "microRNA aae-mir-11903a precursor". The record is from miRBase by way of RNAcentral. Lineage: Eukaryota; Metazoa; Arthropoda; Insecta; Diptera; Culicidae.